Molecule: transfer RNA, 69 nt
Filed under: Clupeonella cultriventris (Black Sea sprat)
Lineage: Eukaryota; Metazoa; Chordata; Actinopteri; Clupeiformes; Clupeidae
Also listed under: 2 other names
Description: tRNA-His
Rfam family: tRNA
About the family: Transfer RNA (tRNA) molecules are approximately 80 nucleotides in length.
Source: RNAcentral
GCAGAUAUAGUUUAACGAAAAUGUUGGAUUGUGAUUCCGAAGACAGGGGUUAAAGCCCCCUUAUCCGCC